Humulus lupulus (European hop) is the source of this 1244-nucleotide long non-coding RNA. RefSeq lists it as uncharacterized. Lineage: Eukaryota; Viridiplantae; Streptophyta; Magnoliopsida; Rosales; Cannabaceae. The transcript has 6 exons. The record is from RefSeq and is a predicted model, not a curated record.
GGUGAGGAUAUAUGGAGGUAUGUUGGGAAGCUAACAGAUGCUCAGAAAAGCAUGUUGGAUGAUAGGUUUAAAUGGAAGGUUCGAGAGAUGGAAAAAUGGAAGGAAGGGAAGCCUGGCAAAGCCAGAGUUGCUUUGAGAUGUUCUGUGAGGGAAAUUGGAUUGGAUGUAGCAGAGCAGAGUGGAGAGAUUACACGAUCUAUCUCUGGCCCAGUACUUCCAAGGUAUUAGAGGCUCCGCAUAGUGAUCAUUUAAUUUUUUGUUUUUAAUUUUUUAACAAGUGAGAAAAAAUUUACUUGGACAUAUCAAGUGAUCCAGAAGGCAGUGCAAUGGAUGAACUUAUUAAAGAUGCAGACAGACUUGUUUCAUGCCUUGCAAACAAGGUUGCCAAGACCUUUGAUUUCAGCUUGACAGGAGCAUCAUCUAGAUAUUGUAAAUAUGUUCUCAACACCCUCAUGCAGGUAAGUUUGGUUUAUGUUGUUGUUGAAUGUCUUAAUGCUAACACUGUACUCUGUUUUUCCAUUUUUUUAUAUACCUUACUAUAAACCUAUAAUCAUCAAUUCUGGUGUGCUUGAUAGGUAAGGAUGGUGGUUGAUGAGAUCUCAGGAGGAUUUGGUUUCAUAGGGAAGAAUGAGAUUAUAAAUGGGAAGGCAGCUGUAAUUGGGUUCUUGCAGUUGUUGGAUUUUGAGCUAUUGACUAGUAAAGGACUUGGCAUUUGGUUUAUCACUUUCAGCACUGCUUGGGGAUAAUAUCUACAACUUUGGCGAGCUGCUGGCACAUCCUAUUAGUUAAUUUAACAGAUGGUCUUGAAGGGCUGGCUGGGCGGAUUGUUGCCUUGGCAUUUGUUGGAAUGUCAAUUGCAGUGCUUCCAAUAUGUCCUGGUUAGUAUGAAUCUUCUUGAAAUUAGAAUAUGAUGUUUGAAUAUUAAGAAUUAACAGUUGGAUAAUUUUCUAUUUUACUUGUUUCUUGGUUUGAGCAUAUAGUUAGUAUUUUUUUAUUUUGUAUAGAUGUGAUCUCAAUCAUUAGGCCAGAAGUAAAUGAGGGUUUGAAUAAGUAUCCAUAUGUUAAAAAGCUAUGUUCAAGAACAGUUGCUAACACUUGGUAUAUGUUUGUCUCAGUAUCUUAUGCUUUGUUAUGAGUUUUCUGGUUUUGUUGAUAUGAUUCUUUCUGUGGUUUUUGUUAUAGGUUUUCAGUGAUCCUCAGAAGAGAGCCAUAUACGAUCAAUAUGCUGAAGAAGGUCUCAAAGG